This 1796-nucleotide ribosomal RNA is filed under the name Bakuella granulifera. RNAcentral describes it as "LSU rRNA". It matches the Rfam family "Eukaryotic large subunit ribosomal RNA", at positions 56 to 1848 of the family's 3401-position model. The record is from RNAcentral. Lineage: Eukaryota; Ciliophora; Spirotrichea; Urostylida; Bakuellidae.
UAGGGCAGAUUACUAAGAUUGCCUCAGUAACGGCGAGUGAAGCGGCAAAAGCCCAAAAUGGUAAUCUUCACCUUUCAGGUGACGAAUUGUAAUCUACAGGUGGGAUACUCAACUGGGAGUGAUGCAGAAGUACCCUAGAACGGGUCGCCAAAGAGGGUGACAGCCCCGUAUGUGGUGUCGCUCCCUAACGAGUACCUUUCGAAGAGUCGGGUUGUUUGGAAAUGCAGCCCUAAUUGGGAGAUACACUUCUUCUAAGGCUAAAUAUGUAUGGGAAACCGAUAGCGAACAAGUACUGUGAAGGAAAGAUGAAAAGAACUUUGAAAAGAGAGUCAAAAGACUUGAAAUCGUUGAGAAGGAAGCGGUAGAAAUUUAUUCUGCAGCUAGGAAUAAAGGUUGUCGCCUAAACAUUGUGGUACUGAGUACUUCAACGGCUCAGUGCCACACCUGUGGAAGUGAUUGCUGGAUUCCUAGUAGUGAGGCAAAAUGGGGCUUCGUAUCCUCAAAAGCUUAGAUUACUUGGGGAGGUUCGCCUUCCACUAAUCUUGUGCUCGUGGAUAUGAAGCCUGAGGGAGCUUAUGCGAUUUUGCUAAAAUGGUUUUUACCGACCCGUCUCGAAACACGGACCAAGGAGUCUAUCAUAUAUGCGAGUGUGCUGGUGGAGAAACCAACACGCAAAAUGAAGGUAAUUGAUGCCAAGCGCAAGCAGCAGCAUCGACCGACCAUGAUCCUCUGGUGAAAGGUUUGAGUAAGAGCAUAUAUGCUAGGACCCGAAAGAUGGUGAACUAUGCCUGGGUAGGGUGAAGCCAGGGGAAACUCUGGUGGAAGCUCGAAGCGAUUCUGACGUGCAAAUCGAUCGUCAAACUUGGGUAUAGGGGCGAAAGACUAAUCGAACCAUCUAGUAGCUGGUUCCCUCCGAAGUUUCCCUUAGGAUAGCUGAGACAACUACGCAGUUUUAUCAGGUAAAGCGAAUGAUUAGAGGUAUCUGGGGUAAAUUGCCCUGGACCUAUUCUCAAACUUUAAAUUGGUAAGAACCUUGGCCUUUCUUAAUUGAGGCACAAGGGAUCAAUGCUUGUCUCAAGUGGGCCAUUUUUGGUAAGCAGAACUGGCGAUGAGGGUUGCUCCUAACGUUGAGUUAAGGUGCCAAACUACACGCUCAUCAGAAACUACAAAGGGUGUUGGUUCAUCCAGACAGCAGGACGGUGGCCAUGGAAGUCGGAACCCGCUAAGGAGUGUGUAACAACUCACCUGCCGAAUGGACUAGCCCCGAAAAUCGAUGGCGCUAAAGCGUGUGACCGAUACUCAACCAUUGUGGCGAGAGUGAGGCUACAAUGAGUAGGAGGGCGUGAACGUUGUUAAGAAGCCUCUGACGUGAGUCUGGGUUGAACAGCGUUUAGUGCAGAUCUUGGUGGUAGUAGCAAUUAUUCAAAUGAGAACUUUGAAGGCCGAAGUGGAGAAGGCUUCCGUGAGAACAGCAAUUGGUCACGGGUGACUCGAUCCUAAGACAUGGGGGAAAUCCUUGUUAAGUGCACCGUAUGGUGCGUAGUCGAAAGGGAAUGAGGUUAAUAUUCCUCAAGCUGGAUGUGGGUGUUGUAUGGUAACAUAAAUGAGCUCAGAAACGCCAGUGUGAGCCUCUGGAAGAGUUCUCUUUUCUUUUUAACAGGCUAACGACCUUGAAAUUGGAUUAUCCAGAGAUAAGGUGGUAUGCUUGGAAGAGCACCUUGCUUUUCGAGGUGUCAGGUGCGCUCACAAUGGUCCUUGAAAAUCUGAGUGAGAUAGCUUUCACACCAGGUUGCCCC